CAGUAGCCGCGGGAAUACGAAGGGGGCUAGCGUUGUUCGGAAUUACUGGGCGUAAAGCGCACGUAGGCGGAUAUUUAAGUCAGGGGUGAAAUCCCAGAGCUCAACUCUGGAACUGCCUUUGAUACUGGGUAUCUUGAGUAUGGAAGAGGUGAGUGGAAUUCCGAGUGUAGAGGUGAAAUUCGUAGAUAUUCGGAGGAACACCAGUGGCAAGGCGGCUCACUGGUCCAUUACUGACGCUGAGGUGCGAAAGCGUGGGGAGCAAACAGGAUUAGAUACCCCCGUAGUCCCUGUCUCUUAUACA
RNAcentral lists this ribosomal RNA (301 nucleotides) under uncultured bacterium. RNAcentral describes it as "partial 16S ribosomal RNA". It matches the Rfam family "Bacterial small subunit ribosomal RNA", at positions 509 to 808 of the family's 1533-position model. The record is from RNAcentral.